UGACAGACAGACAGUAUGGUGGUU
RNAcentral lists this non-coding RNA (24 nucleotides) under Arabidopsis thaliana (thale cress). The record is from RNAcentral. Lineage: Eukaryota; Viridiplantae; Streptophyta; Magnoliopsida; Brassicales; Brassicaceae.